This is a long non-coding RNA of Priapulus caudatus, 812 nucleotides long. RefSeq lists it as uncharacterized. Lineage: Eukaryota; Metazoa; Priapulida; Priapulimorpha; Priapulimorphida; Priapulidae. The transcript has 2 exons. The record is from RefSeq and is a predicted model, not a curated record.
GAGGAGGAAAAUGCACCUGUGAUGUGUUUGGCUUCCUUUAUGUAGUCAGCGAGUGUGUAUCGAAGCAAAUCUUCAAACAUCUCAAGUAGAAGGAAGCUCUAUCCCAUGUAGGAAAUUAUUCGCAAGCUCCCGCAACGAAGAAGAAACCAAAGUAGCAUCGAAGUGGAACUUGACCUAGGACAUAUUGUUCAUCUUUUUUGUAAUUCGGACACCCUAAACUAAACAACAGGCUUCCCCCCUAGAAUGGAAUUUGGUUUGUAUCGGUGAAUUGCUGGGUAUCUUGCGAUGCCUGGGAUGCGAGGCAAUGGAUGAGUGACUAGCUUUCAGAUCGAUGGGAAAGCUACAACUGUCGCUGUAACGUUUCUAAACGUUGGCUACGAUGCUAGAUCUCGUUUAUUCGAAAUUGCGCGCAAAUGUCUAAGAUGUUACGCUGAAGGCGUUCUCAUUGACACCUGUAGGAAUGUCAAUCGGUUGGCAGGUUGGUGUUGUCGUCGUGGUUUCCGUUUGAUUCAUGCGAACCGCGCCACACUUGAAGUGCUAGCCUCAUAUCUUUCAUCAUCAUCAUCAUCAUCAUCAUCAUCAUCAUCAUCAUCAUCAUCGCUAGCCUUUAAUAGUCAGAGAUGAAGAAGGGGAGGAGGCAGAGGAGUAAAGCUGAAUUCUGUAAUAGGAGAAGGGGAGGAGGGGGGAGUCACAUCACCGACGUGGAAUUCAUUCUCUGUUCUUCGUGUAGGCUGUUGUUGUUGUUCGGUUUAUUUGUGAAGCAGCGAGUCGUGUUAUAAAAAGGGUGUUUAAAUAAAUUCGGUUGAAAGAAA